GCGGCAGUUUCAAUAAUCAGGAAAGCUGAUAGCACGGGCCGUGUUUCACGAAAGGCUGUUGUCAAACAAGACGAUUUGCCCCUUUCCGCGCGAGCCAAUAUGUCUACGCUUGAUUUUCAACUUAGACGACCACGUGUCCCUGAAUAAAUAGGAGUCUUUCAGGCUCGACCGAAUGAAGAUGCACACUAUGGAUGCACGUGAAGACUUCAAAACAGCACGUAACUAUGACAUCAACGCAUGGUCCAGCUAGAUUAUAGCAAAAUGUGAAACUAAUAAAAUUCGACACUUCAAAAAUGAUAAGUACACUCAAUAAUAAUAAUAAUAAUAACAAUUAUCAUUAUUUGUGCAUCUUUUGUAUGUCAGCGCCUUGUAAACAACUAAUCCUGGUUGAACUGUGUUUCGGUUAUUCGUUCUCAGGUAUAAGCCUGCUUUGUCCCGUUCCCUGUGUGUUAAAUAGUUUUUUUUUUUCAGUUACAGAAAAACCACAAUGGCGUAUUAGAGAUUAGUAUCAACUCCGUCACAUUCUCGUCAUGUAAAUUCAUGGGCAAUCGCCGUCUCACCUCAAUAUAAUUCGUUUGUGGACAAAACAACGAAAGCAGAAUGAUUCAAGUUGUCGGUGUAUCUUUUUGUCAUCAUGGACGUCGAAGUGUACAUUUGUCGAUUGGCGCGUGCUGAAUAA
This is a long non-coding RNA of Varroa destructor (honeybee mite), 679 nucleotides long. The record is from RefSeq and is a predicted model, not a curated record. Lineage: Eukaryota; Metazoa; Arthropoda; Arachnida; Mesostigmata; Varroidae.